UGCCGGUGGACAAACCGGAGGAAGGUGGGGAUGACGUCAAGUCAUCAUGGCCCUUACGGCCUGGGCUACACACGUGCUACAAUGGUCGGUACAAAGGGUUGCCAAGCCGCGAGGUGGAGCUAAUCCCAUAAAACCGAUCGUAGUCCGGAUCGCAGUCUGCAACUCGACUGCGUGAAGUCGGAAUCGCUAGUAAUCGUGAAUCAGAAUGUCGACGGUGAAUACCGGUUCCCCGGGUCCUU
Molecule: ribosomal RNA, 239 nt
Filed under: uncultured Pseudomonas sp.
Lineage: Bacteria; Pseudomonadati; Pseudomonadota; Gammaproteobacteria; Pseudomonadales; Pseudomonadaceae
Description: partial 16S ribosomal RNA
Rfam family: Bacterial small subunit ribosomal RNA
Source: RNAcentral